CAAAUUAUCCGCUUUUACAUCUGC
This 24-nucleotide non-coding RNA is filed under the name Arabidopsis thaliana (thale cress). The record is from RNAcentral. Lineage: Eukaryota; Viridiplantae; Streptophyta; Magnoliopsida; Brassicales; Brassicaceae.